GUAAGGAAUAUUGGUCAAUGGACGCAAGUCUGAACCAGCCAUGCCGCGUGGAGGAUGAAGGUCCUCUGGAUUGUAAACUUCUUUUCUCUGGGACGAAACCCCCGAUUUCUAUCGGGCCUGACGGUACCAGAGGAAUAAGCACCGGCUAACUCCGUGCCAGCAGCCGCGGUAAUACGGAGGGUGCAAGCGUUAUCCGGAUUCACUGGGUUUAAAGGGAGCGUAGGUGGGCAGUUAAGUCAGUGGUGAAAUCUCUGGGCUUAACCCGGAAACUGCCAUUGAUACUAUCUGUCUUGAAUAUUCUGGAGGUAAGCGGAAUAUGUCAUGUAGCGGUGAAAUGCUUAGAUAUGACAUAGAACACCCAUUGCGAAGGCAGCUUACUACGGAAUUAUUGACACUGAGGCUCGAAAGCGUGGGGAUCAAACAGGAUUAGAAACCCGGGUAGUCC
This 445-nucleotide ribosomal RNA is filed under the name uncultured Lacibacter sp. RNAcentral's name for it is "bacterial SSU rRNA". It matches the Rfam family "Bacterial small subunit ribosomal RNA", at positions 354 to 796 of the family's 1533-position model. Lineage: Bacteria; Pseudomonadati; Bacteroidota; Chitinophagia; Chitinophagales; Chitinophagaceae. The record is from RNAcentral.